CGCCCACCGUCGGGUAAUCGUCGGUUCGUCUGAACCCAACUGCAGUGCAGAGUCGGAAUGGGGGGCUUGGCCCCGGUCCAGCACGGUCAAAAUUAGCUCUCUGUUGAAUUUCAUGCAGUCAGCCAGUGGAAGCAGCUGAGAUCCUGACGCCCCAGUCCCGCAGCCUUGUAUGGGGUGUCCGAGCCCCGCAAGGCUGCAGCUCGGGUCCGCUGUCGUCCACGAACGCCUUUUCCAGCAGCAACUUUACAGCAAAGGACAAAAACAGAUACUUUAUGUGUUCUUUCUUCAACAUGACACCAACAGGAGCAAUGGGGGAUCCCACUAGAGCUGACGGCUGUGUUCCUGAACCCGGUGGCACGGAGAGGAACGACCACGAAAGAUCGACAUUCCUUCUCUCUGAAGCAGGAUAGAGAACGGCCCUCUGGGGAAAUUAUAUCCUCAUGUAUAUUAUUUUUUAUUUCCUAAAUCAUGUAUAUCCUUAUUUUUUAUGGUUAUGGCGAGCGGUACAGAUGAAUUAUGACGCUGGGGCUGUUUCCCCAUCUAUGUGAUUAAUAACAUUUUAGAAAAACCUGGGACUCUAAGCCUUGAUGAUAUGCUCUUCGGAGGGGGCGGCAGUAAAGACACUCAGCACCUCAAGACAGACCUGACAGACUGGAGCUUCACUAAAGACCCACAUGUCUGUGUUUGCAAACUCCACAGGGGCCCUCGGGGGUCCCGCGGCAGCGGCACGUCUUCCACUUGUCCACUUCUACUUUACACGGCUGGACUCUUUCAUACUUCUGUGAAUUCCUGUGAACGAACCCAUCAAGAAAUGUCCACAGUUACUGACACCCAGUGUGACAAACACUAGAGCAGUAUGUGUUUUUAAAGGCCGAUACCAAUGUCACGGUUCCAAAAUUGGUGUCGAAACAUUUUUUCACUCGAAAAUUCAGUCACCAAAAAAAAAAAAAAAAAUGGGUGAGGAAACAUAGAAAUUAAAUUUCACAAAAAAUACCCAAAAACAAAUUAGUGUAGAAACAAUUUUCAAUCAGAAAUUAAAUACACUUCACAAAAAAGACGUAAAAACAAAUUUCACACCAAAAUUAAAUACAUUUGACACACACACACACACACACACACACAAACACUCUCUCUCUGUCUCUCUCUCACACUCACACACACACACACUCUCUCUCUCACACACACACACACACUCUCACACACACAUGGUGUACAAACAAUUUUCACUCAGAAACUGGAAGUAAAGAAAGGCGAGUAACACAUUGCAUUUAUUAAGAAAUUUUUAAGUAGAAAGACCGAAAAAGUAUAUUCUUGUAAAACAUACUCAGAUAAUCUCUGUUUUAUUGCAACUUCAAUUUUUAUUUAAAUUUUUAGUAACAGUGCAUGGUCAAAUAUCAGUGAAUCCUAAAAUUGUGAUUUAUCGAUCUGAAAAAUACACGACAAUGUCUAAAACUGUGUAGAAGUCAUGGAAAGUGAAUAUGAUUUCUGUUUUUGAGUUAUGCACUGCUCUCAAUUAUUUAAUCAUCUAGAAAUCGUUCCAUAACAUGAUUUUUGAAAUCGAUCAGUUACACUAAAAUAAUUAUUACAUCAAUUCUGUGGGAACCCUGGAGUAUUUAUAAUAAUAAUAAUAAUAAAAAAGCAAAUGAGAUUUAAAUUUAAAUGUAUUUUUUGUAACUUUUAUUUAUUUAAAUUUCUCUAAAAAGUAUUUGGAAUCAAAACUAGCACUUCUGUUAACCGGUUGGUUAUCGGUUAUUAUUCCCAUUUUGACAGUCUAUCACUCCCAAAAAUCACACUCACAGGAACACUUUGACGUCUCGCUCGGCUCCAUCCAUACGUCUUCAUCACUAAACCAUGUCAGCGUCACUCAGUACUCACACCUUACAGUAUUUACUAAGGCUAAGAGUCCCCACUUCUCACGCAGUUACUAGAAAAGCUACAGAGUUCAUCUUUUUUGUUUCAUUUUUUUUUAGAAUAUGCUUGUUAAGUUUUGCUUUUUAACUUUUUUUGUUGCUUUGCCAGUAUAUUAAAGUGUAAUCAUGUACGUUGUGAUUUAGAAAUAGCUGUAGAGAUGCAUUGUUUCCUUGUGGUAAGUGACUGAGAUGCUGCCACGGAUUUGAGACACUGAUGAAUGGUGCUAUUUUGGACUUUAAUCUGCUCCUUGGGUAAGGAAGCUCAGAUGGGUUUGAUUUUAUAUUUUCAUGUUCGGAGGAGGUGUUGGUUCUUUGUUGUCUGGUUGUCGUAACUCGGAUCGGAUCGACUUUAUUCCCCCUCGCUGUUUCUGUGUGGCUUUCUCAUUGGACAGACAAACAGAUUUGCUGGAGAGUGUUUUGUUUUGUUUUUUACUCGGAGAUGAUUAUUCGCAAAACUGUAGACAGUCGGAGCAAUCACAAAACUGCAAUUAUUAACACUACUUACCCUUUAAUGUAAAGGUUUAAUUACAGUUCCUGGCACUUUAGUCACUUCUGGCAAUAGAAAAACUCUCAUACUUACAGGACGGGGUCCUUACGCAGCCGAUUGCACGGUUUUGUUUAGCAAUGAACUUCGAAUGCAUCAAGGAUGUGUUCCAAUCAGAGCGAAGCUGUGCACAGUCCCAGGUGACGGUGGUCUAUAUAGUGUACAUACACAGGGCAGCUGAGGUCAGAUUUAUCAUCCUACACCAGUCUAACAAGGACAAAAACGCUCAUCCGUUUAGCACACGGGGUCCUUACAUGCAAAACAUGUAGCAGCAAAACCAACGCAGCUGGUUUUGUACAUGAGUUUCCUGGAUUUAAGGAUGCGAACCCAAAGUUUUAUAUCUAUUCAUCAAAGUAGCACAGUAUCGUCACUCGGUAUUUGCAGUUUUGUCUUUGCUUCCAGUUCACAUACUUUUAAGAAUCCCAAUUCAGAGUCCGACUGGAAAGCCCACGUUAGUUUCUUAGUCUUCCAUUUAUUUUCCCACGACAGUGGGACCUUCCCAGCUUGCUUUAGUCUCUCCUUUAGUGCUUACUGAUCGCAUGCUCUCUGCUCUUCCUUUUGUUUCUGAACUGAAUGAUUCUCCUCGCGGUUUCUUCUCAUAGAUUAGAUAUGCCAACUGUGUUGUAAAUAGCCAGUUUAUAGCUUGUAGUGUGUUGAAUUAUUCUGUAAUAAGUGUAUGAUUGGUGUACAAAACAUGAAGUCUAGCCUUGUCAUCUUUAUAAGGAUGCACAGGUAUAUAUCAUGUUAUUUUGAAACUUAAGCUGUAGUUGAAUAAAUAUGCAAGCUCUCGCUA
Cyprinus carpio (common carp) is the source of this 3247-nucleotide long non-coding RNA. RefSeq lists it as uncharacterized. The record is from RefSeq and is a predicted model, not a curated record. Lineage: Eukaryota; Metazoa; Chordata; Actinopteri; Cypriniformes; Cyprinidae. The transcript has 3 exons.